Non-coding RNA from Phalacrocorax carbo (great cormorant), 2711 nucleotides. The record is from RefSeq and is a predicted model, not a curated record. NCBI's taxonomy places the organism in Eukaryota, Metazoa, Chordata, Aves, Suliformes, Phalacrocoracidae.
UUAUGUGGCUGGACAGGUAGAUAAGGAACCUAGCCCAUUCUCCCAUCUGGAUAAAGAGAAGCUUUCCAAUGGGAAGGAUAAGGAAGCACUGGAACAGGUUGCCUGGGGCACUGGUGGAGUCUCCAUCCAGUCUUUAAGAACUGGUUAGACAAGCACCUGUCAGGAGUGAUAUAGGCACAGCUCGCUUUGCCUUCCAACCCUAUUUUUCUGGAUCUAGGGUGAAACUCCGCUCCUGAAAAACUGUAUUCAUAUUUGCCUGUUCCCUGCAUCCUGGGAAACUGAGGAGACACAGUUUGGCAACUGGCAUUGAGGUAAAAUUGAAAAUGAAGCUGACAAGCCUGAUGUGCCAAGAGAAGUGUUCUGUAUGCAGGAAUUUGGACUUCUUGGAGGUGCAGACCAAAAACUUGGAGUUUAAGUCAUAAAUCACCAGUGGUGUGGUUUUACAACAUAAGCAGCAGCAUAGAAGCAAAGCAAUUGCCGAACAGCAGCAAAACAGAAGUAAAGAUCAGAGACUGCAAGCAGCAGAGGACACGUGGGUACACGUCCACUACAGGAAGGUUGCGUGGGGUGAGUGCACCGGGUUUCCACCAAAGUUGUGACAGAAAAGGAGAAAGCCCAGAAAAAGAGGAGGAAACAAGAGAACGGGGUGUCUGCAAAGUAGUCCCAAGUAGUCAAAAAACCCAAGAUGAGAGCUGCAUCCCAUUCUUCUCCAGGGAAAGGAGGGAGUAAGAACAAUGACCCUGCCCUUUCAGACACUGUUGUUUCUUUAACUUUACAGGUGCUGGAGAAAAAGUAGAUGAAUAGAAAUACUUCCAGCCCCAGCUUCACUUCAUUAAACCACGGGCUGUCAGGCUGUUUGGAUGGCGGAGAUUUUAGGUGGGCAAAAAAGCAAGAGACACACUGAAGAUAGAUAUGAACAGGACAAGAGCUGCACAUGUUGCACCAAUUUUGCAUUCUAUUAUUUUACAAUAAAUCCACAGGAAACUCUUAUAGACCUUGACCCGCAAAGGUACACAGACCUGCUGUUUAGUUAGGUGGUGCCUCUUCACCGGUGCAGAAAUUAAACACUGGAUGGCUGGGCAGUCACCCCCAAAAAGCAGCUGCUUUGCCUUGCAAUGUACAGACUGAAAUUGAGCCCUAUGUGUGCCUGCAGUUCUUCCUUACAUCUACAGGUUACUCUGAGAUACACUGCAAAAUGCAUUCAGAUCCACAGUUGCUUCUUCUAAGGAUAAGUACCCCAGAGCGCCAUAAACUCUAUGCAUUUCUAAAGGUCUCUGUGGCCUGAUCUGGAUCAUUUACCAUAUGAAAGAUCAGCUGUACUACAACCCAAGGCCAUUAAUGGCAUGCUAAGCCACUCUACCUUUCCCAUUGAUUUUGUCACACUUCGUAUCUGCAGUUACAAAACUAAUAUGCCAUGCAUUUUAUGUGUGCUGAUGGCUGCAGUGCUGACAUCGUGAGUGGGGACUGGGGUGCCAGGACAAACAGAUGCAUGAGAAGCAGGAUGAGAAGCAUCCUGGCCAAAUGAUACAGAUGUCGGAAAUGUAGCCAGUAGUUAUGGGAUGGGAAUAAAAUGUUAAGAUUAUGUUUAAUUCUAUCUAUACUAAUAGCAGUGUGCAGGGAUGAUGGCUCCCUUAUUCUAAGGUUUGGUAUGGGUACGUAUCACCUGCAGAAAUGAGCUGUGGGGUGGGGCAUGGGUUGGGCAGGAGCCAGAAGCAUUGCCAGAGUUGUGAUUCUGGUCUCUGCCGUCUGGGAUGCCUUCACCUGCUCUUGGUGCUGAGUGCAAGAGCACACCCUCAGCCUUCCACUGGCAUUGGUACCCCUCCACCAGCUGGGUCCAAAGAUGUACCUCCCCAACCUUCAGGAACUUCAGUGAGACCAAACAUCGCCUUGAACAGUAAAUUUUGCAAGUCCCAAAAUCAUGGGCAUCUCACUACCAAAGCCAUUCCCAGGAGCCCAUCAGUUCACAUAACUUUUAACAUCCCUCUGUAGAACUGAAUCAAGCAAAUAAAUUUUUUUUUUCUCUCAUUUGUGACUUCUAAAAGAUCAUGUAAGUUUGAAAAAGCUAUUUUAAAGUUCUGGUGAUUCAAGAAUACAGUCAACCACCAAAAGCCAGUCAGGAUGCUUGUUAUCACAAAAUGCUUACAUCUAAUUAAAAUAUUUCAGCGUGAGUCUGAUCACCUCAAGUAUUUUGAAUGGUUUAAAUAUUGUUAAAGGAAAUUCUGAAAUAAAAUGCUGAUGAACCAAAAGUACUGAAAAAAUUCAAAGUGAUAAUUUAGUAUUUAACAAACUACUUUAUUAAACGCUUCUAUAUUAUAUGAACAAUUCUGCAAAAUUUCCAUGGAUUCAUGAACUGUCUCAGUGUUGUUACAGCAGCUUUCUCCCUUUAAACAGAGUUUGUUUCUUCGGUUUCAUGAAGCCCUGCCUUAUCUCAUUCAGCCACAUAGAGUUGAAACUACACAGAGUGAAAUAGGGAAGUUUGAGAACAUAACCAUUGAAAGACUGAAAAAAUAGUUUUGGAUGACCUUGUGUUUUCUCUCUCUCCUUCCAUUUUGCUCCAUGGGAAAAGACUUGUGUGAGAGCCACCCUUAGAUGUCCUGGUUCAGGGGAGUUCAGUGAUCGUUUUUGUUUGCAGUUUGCUGAGCAUUACAAUGACUGUCUUCUUAUCCUAGCCUGCAAUGAAUUGAACAACUCAAAGUGAUUCUCGUAACAUU